RNAcentral lists this ribosomal RNA (245 nucleotides) under uncultured bacterium. RNAcentral describes it as "partial 16S ribosomal RNA". It matches the Rfam family "Bacterial small subunit ribosomal RNA", at positions 532 to 776 of the family's 1533-position model. The record is from RNAcentral.
GGGCUAGCGUUGCUCGGAAUCACUGGGCGUAAAGGGUGCGUAGGCGGGUCUUUAAGUCAGGGGUGAAAUCCUGGAGCUCAACUCCAGAACUGCCUUUGAUACUGAGGAUCUUGAGUUCGGGAGAGGUGAGUGGAACUGCGAGUGUAGAGGUGAAAUUCGUAGAUAUUCGCAAGAACACCAGUGGCGAAGGCGGCUCACUGGCCCGAUACUGACGCUGAGGCACGAAAGCGUGGGGAGCAAACAGG